UAACUCCACCAACAAAACUAUUCGCCAGAACACUACAAGCAAUAGCUUAAAACUCAAAGGACCUGGCGGUGCUUUAUAUCCGUCUAGAGGAGCCUGUUCUGUAAUCGAUAUACCCCGAUAGACCUUACCACCUCUUGCCCUCAGCCUGUAUACCGCCAUCUUCAGCAAACA
RNAcentral lists this ribosomal RNA (171 nucleotides) under Cebus sp. 2 EG-2017. RNAcentral's name for it is "partial 12S ribosomal RNA". Lineage: Eukaryota; Metazoa; Chordata; Mammalia; Primates; Cebidae. The record is from RNAcentral.